This 490-nucleotide ribosomal RNA is filed under the name uncultured bacterium. RNAcentral describes it as "partial 16S ribosomal RNA". It matches the Rfam family "Bacterial small subunit ribosomal RNA", at positions 29 to 506 of the family's 1533-position model. The record is from RNAcentral.
GUGAACGCUGGCGGUAGGCCUAACACAUGCACGUCGAACGGCAGCACAGUAAGAGCUUGCUCUUACGGGUGGCGAGUGGCGGACGAGUGAGGAAUACAUCGGAAUCUACUUUUUCGUGGGGGAUAACGUAGGGGAACUUACGCUAAUACCGCAUACGACCUACGGGUGAAAGCAGGGGAUCUUCGGACCUUGCGCGAUUGAAUGAGCCGAUGUCGGAUUAGCUAGUUGGCGGGGUAAAGGCCCACCAAGGCGACGAUCCGUAGCUGGUCUGAGAGGAUGAUCAGCCACACUGGAGCUGAGACACGGUCCAGACUCCUACGGGAGGCAGCAGUGGGGAAUAUUGGACAAUGGGCGCAAGCCUGAUCCAGCCAUACCGCGUGGGUGAAGAAGGCCUUCGGGUUGUAAAGCCCUUUUGUUGGGAAAGAAAAGCAGCAGGUUAAUACCCCGCUGUUCUGACGGUACCCAAAGAAUAAGCACCGGCUAACUUCGU